RNAcentral lists this ribosomal RNA (408 nucleotides) under uncultured bacterium. RNAcentral's name for it is "bacterial SSU rRNA". It matches the Rfam family "Bacterial small subunit ribosomal RNA", at positions 381 to 781 of the family's 1533-position model. The record is from RNAcentral.
GCCUGAUCCAGCCAUGCCGCGUGUGUGAAGAAGGUCUUCGGAUUGUAAAGCACUUUAAGUUGGGAGGAAGGGCAUUAACCUAAUACGUUAGUGUUUUGACGUUACCGACAGAAUAAGCACCGGCUAACUUCGUGCCAGCAGCCGCGGUAAUACGAAGGGUGCAAGCGUUAAUUGGAAUUACUGGGCGUAAAGCGCGCGUAGGUGGUUCAGCAAGUUGGAUGUGAAAGCCCCGGGCUCAACCUGGGAACUGCAUCCAAAAAUACUGAGCUAGAGUAUGGUAGAGGGUGGUGGAAUUUCCUGUGUAGCGGUGAAAUGCGUAGAUAUAGGAAGGAACACCAGUGGCGAAGGCGACCACCUGGACUGAUACUGACACUGAGGUGCGAAAGCGUGGGGAGCAAACAGGAUUAG